RNAcentral lists this ribosomal RNA (2900 nucleotides) under Klebsiella pneumoniae. RNAcentral describes it as "bacterial LSU rRNA". It matches the Rfam family "Bacterial large subunit ribosomal RNA". Lineage: Bacteria; Pseudomonadati; Pseudomonadota; Gammaproteobacteria; Enterobacterales; Enterobacteriaceae. The record is from RNAcentral. RNAcentral also lists the same sequence under 2 other names.
UUAAGCGACUAAGCGUACACGGUGGAUGCCCUGGCAGUCAGAGGCGAUGAAGGACGUGCUAAUCUGCGAAAAGCGUCGGUAAGGUGAUAUGAACCGUUAUAACCGGCGAUGUCCGAAUGGGGAAACCCAGUGUGAUUCGUCACACUAUCGUUAACUGAAUACAUAGGUUAACGAGGCGAACCGGGGGAACUGAAACAUCUAAGUACCCCGAGGAAAAGAAAUCAACCGAGAUUCCCCCAGUAGCGGCGAGCGAACGGGGAGCAGCCCAGAGUCUGAAUCAGCUUGUGUGUUAGUGGAACGGUCUGGAAAGUCCGACGGUACAGGGUGAUAGUCCCGUACACCAAAAUGCACAGGCUGUGAACUCGAAGAGUAGGGCGGGACACGUGGUAUCCUGUCUGAAUAUGGGGGGACCAUCCUCCAAGGCUAAAUACUCCUGACUGACCGAUAGUGAACCAGUACCGUGAGGGAAAGGCGAAAAGAACCCCGGCGAGGGGAGUGAAAAAGAACCUGAAACCGUGUACGUACAAGCAGUGGGAGCACCUUCGGGUGUGACUGCGUACCUUUUGUAUAAUGGGUCAGCGACUUAUAUUCUGUAGCAAGGUUAACCGUAUAGGGGAGCCGCAGGGAAACCGAGUCUUAACUGGGCGUUAAGUUGCAGGGUAUAGACCCGAAACCCGGUGAUCUAGCCAUGGGCAGGUUGAAGGUUGGGUAACACUAACUGGAGGACCGAACCGACUAAUGUUGAAAAAUUAGCGGAUGACUUGUGGCUGGGGGUGAAAGGCCAAUCAAACCGGGAGAUAGCUGGUUCUCCCCGAAAGCUAUUUAGGUAGCGCCUCGUGAACUCAUCUUCGGGGGUAGAGCACUGUUUCGGCUAGGGGGUCAUCCCGACUUACCAACCCGAUGCAAACUACGAAUACCGAAGAAUGUUAUCACGGGAGACACACGGCGGGUGCUAACGUCCGUCGUGAAGAGGGAAACAACCCAGACCGCCAGCUAAGGUCCCAAAGUCAUGGUUAAGUGGGAAACGAUGUGGGAAGGCACAGACAGCCAGGAUGUUGGCUUAGAAGCAGCCAUCAUUUAAAGAAAGCGUAAUAGCUCACUGGUCGAGUCGGCCUGCGCGGAAGAUGUAACGGGGCUAAACCAUGCACCGAAGCUGCGGCAGCGACACUAUGUGUUGUUGGGUAGGGGAGCGUUCUGUAAGCCUGCGAAGGUGACCUGUGAGGGUUGCUGGAGGUAUCAGAAGUGCGAAUGCUGACAUAAGUAACGAUAAAGCGGGUGAAAAGCCCGCUCGCCGGAAGACCAAGGGUUCCUGUCCAACGUUAAUCGGGGCAGGGUGAGUCGACCCCUAAGGCGAGGCCGAAAGGCGUAGUCGAUGGGAAACAGGUUAAUAUUCCUGUACUUGGUGUUACUGCGAAGGGGGGACGGAGAAGGCUAUGUUAGCCGGGCGACGGUUGUCCCGGUUUAAGCAUGUAGGCUGAUUGUCCAGGCAAAUCCGGAUAAUCAAGGCUGAGGUGUGAUGACGAGGCACUACGGUGCUGAAGUAACAAAUGCCCUGCUUCCAGGAAAAGCCUCUAAGCAUCAGGUAACAUCAAAUCGUACCCCAAACCGACACAGGUGGUCAGGUAGAGAAUACCAAGGCGCUUGAGAGAACUCGGGUGAAGGAACUAGGCAAAAUGGUGCCGUAACUUCGGGAGAAGGCACGCUGGUGUGUAGGUGAAGCCCCUGCGGGUGGAGCUGAGACCAGUCGAAGAUACCAGCUGGCUGCAACUGUUUAUUAAAAACACAGCACUGUGCAAACACGAAAGUGGACGUAUACGGUGUGACGCCUGCCCGGUGCCGGAAGGUUAAUUGAUGGGGUUAUCCGUAAGGAGAAGCUCUUGAUCGAAGCCCCGGUAAACGGCGGCCGUAACUAUAACGGUCCUAAGGUAGCGAAAUUCCUUGUCGGGUAAGUUCCGACCUGCACGAAUGGCGUAAUGAUGGCCAGGCUGUCUCCACCCGAGACUCAGUGAAAUUGAACUCGCUGUGAAGAUGCAGUGUACCCGCGGCAAGACGGAAAGACCCCGUGAACCUUUACUAUAGCUUGACACUGAACAUUGAGCCUUGAUGUGUAGGAUAGGUGGGAGGCUUUGAAGCGUGGACGCCAGUCUGCGUGGAGCCAACCUUGAAAUACCACCCUUUAAUGUUUGAUGUUCUAACGUUGGCCCCUUACCGGGGUUGCGGACAGUGUCUGGUGGGUAGUUUGACUGGGGCGGUCUCCUCCCAAAGCGUAACGGAGGAGCACGAAGGUUAGCUAAUCCUGGUCGGACAUCAGGAGGUUAGUGCAAUGGCAUAAGCUAGCUUGACUGCGAGCGUGACGGCGCGAGCAGGUGCGAAAGCAGGUCAUAGUGAUCCGGUGGUUCUGAAUGGAAGGGCCAUCGCUCAACGGAUAAAAGGUACUCCGGGGAUAACAGGCUGAUACCGCCCAAGAGUUCAUAUCGACGGCGGUGUUUGGCACCUCGAUGUCGGCUCAUCACAUCCUGGGGCUGAAGUAGGUCCCAAGGGUAUGGCUGUUCGCCAUUUAAAGUGGUACGCGAGCUGGGUUUAGAACGUCGUGAGACAGUUCGGUCCCUAUCUGCCGUGGGCGCUGGAGAAUUGAGGGGGGCUGCUCCUAGUACGAGAGGACCGGAGUGGACGCAUCACUGGUGUUCGGGUUGUCAUGCCAAUGGCACUGCCCGGUAGCUAAAUGCGGAAGAGAUAAGUGCUGAAAGCAUCUAAGCACGAAACUUGCCCCGAGAUGAGUUCUCCCUGAGACUUUAAGUCUCCUGAAGGAACGUUGAAGACGACGACGUUGAUAGGCCGGGUGUGUAAGCGCAGCGAUGCGUUGAGCUAACCGGUACUAAUGAACCGUGAGGCUUAACCUU